Molecule: ribosomal RNA, 490 nt
Filed under: uncultured bacterium
Lineage: Bacteria
Description: partial 16S ribosomal RNA
Rfam family: Bacterial small subunit ribosomal RNA
Source: RNAcentral
AUUGAACGCUGGCGGCAGGCCUAACACAUGCAAGUCGAACGGUAACAGGAAGCAGCUUGCUGCUUCGCUGACGAGAGGCGGACGGGUGAGUAAUGUCUGGGAAACUGCCUGAUGGAGGGGGAUAACUACUGGAAACGGUAGCUAAUACCGCAUAACGUCGCAAGACCAAAGAGGGGGACCUUAGGGCCUCUUGCCAUCGGAUGUGCCCAGAUGGGAUUAGCUAGUAGGUGGGGUAACGGCUCACCUAGGCGACGAUCCCUAGCUGGUCUGAGAGGAUGACCAGCCACACUGGAACUGAGACACGGUCCAGACUCCUACGGGAGGCAGCAGUGGGGAAUAUUGCACAAUGGGCGCAAGCCUGAUGCAGCCAUGCCGCGUGUAUGAAGAAGGCCUUCGGGUUGUAAAGUACUUUCAGCGGGGAGGAAGGGAGUAAAGUUAAUACCUUUGCUCAUUGACGUUACCCGCAGAAGAAGCACCGGCUAACUCCGUG